Molecule: unclassified non-coding RNA, 739 nt
Filed under: Hevea brasiliensis (rubber tree)
Lineage: Eukaryota; Viridiplantae; Streptophyta; Magnoliopsida; Malpighiales; Euphorbiaceae
Source: RNAcentral
GUUGGCUGGUGUUGUUGCUGUUGAGGUUACUGGAGGGCCUGAAGUUCCUUUCCACCCUGGUAGAGAGGACAAACCCGAACCCCCCCCAGAAGGUCGCUUGCCUGACGCCACUAAGGGUUCUGAUCAUCUGAGGGAUGUUUUCUACACCAUGGGUCUCUCGGACCAGGACAUUGUUGCCCUCUCUGGCGGUCACACAUUGGGUAGGGCACACAAAGAACGAUCUGGUUUUGAGGGGCCGUGGACUUCCAACCCUCUCAUCUUUGAUAAUUCAUACUUCACUGAACUCUUGAGCGGGGAGAAGGAAGGCCUUCUGCAGUUGGCAUCAGACAAGGCACUUCUGUCUGAUCCCGUCUUCCGCCCCCUUGUUGAAAAAUAUGCUGCGGAUGAGGAUGCUUUCUUUGCUGACUAUGCUGAAGCUCACCAGAAGCUUUCUGAGUUAGGUUUUGCUGAUGCUUGAGCAAUUGGAACGGGGGAAAAUGAGGCUGCAGGCUGUUGUUUUUUAUGUUAGCUUUGAUUUGUAAUGAAAUGGGAAGGUUAGAUUGGGUUACUGUUGUUUUUGGACAGUUGGUUUGAAUUUGGGCUGUCUUGUUGGGAAGACUUUGGGCAGAAUGUAAUAUUCAUCUCCCAGCCUCUUUGGACUUGAAUAAUGUUGCUUUAAAAUUUAUCAUUUUGGUGUUUUUUAGGCAUAAUCCAAUCAACAUCAAAAAUGUUACUGAGCACUAAAUACAGUUGAGUUAUG